GACAGAGGGUGCAAACGUUGUUCGGAAUUACUGGGCGUAAAGCGCGUGUAGGCGGCUCGAUAAGUCGGAUGUGAAAGCCCUGGGCUCAACCUAGGAAGUGCAUUCGAAACUGCUGAGCUUGAGUUCUGGAGAGGAAGGCGGAAUUCUCGGUGUAGAGGUGAAAUUCGUAGAUAUCGAGAGGAACACCGGUGGCGAAGGCGGCCAACUGGACGAAUACUGACGCUGAGACACGAAAGCGUGGGGAGCAAACAGG
This 253-nucleotide ribosomal RNA is filed under the name uncultured bacterium. RNAcentral's name for it is "partial 16S ribosomal RNA". It matches the Rfam family "Bacterial small subunit ribosomal RNA", at positions 524 to 776 of the family's 1533-position model. The record is from RNAcentral.